RNAcentral lists this ribosomal RNA (1402 nucleotides) under uncultured bacterium. Its description in RNAcentral is "16S ribosomal RNA". It matches the Rfam family "Bacterial small subunit ribosomal RNA". The record is from RNAcentral.
AGAGUUUGAUCCUGGCUCAGGAUGAACGCUAGCGGCAGGCUUAACACAUGCAAGUCGAGGGGCAGCGGGGAGGAAGCUUGCUUUCUCCGCCGGCGACCGGCGCACGGGUGAGUAACACGUAUGCAACCUGCCCCUGUCAGGGGGACAACCCGCCGAAAGGCGGGCUAAACCCGCGUACAUGCCACCGGGGCAUCCCGGAGGCAGGAAAGGCUUCGGCCGGACAGGGAUGGGCAUGCGGCGCAUUAGGCAGUAGGCGGGGUAACGGCCCACCUAACCGACGAUGCGUAGGGGUUCUGAGAGGAAGGUCCCCCACACUGGUACUGAGACACGGACCAGACUCCUACGGGAGGCAGCAGUGAGGAAUAUUGGUCAAUGGUCGGGAGACUGAACCAGCCAAGCCGCGUGAGGGAGGAAGGUACAGAGUAUCGUAAACCUCUUUUGUCAGGGAACAAAGGCGGGGACGUGUCCCCGGAUGAGUGUACCUGAAGAAAAAGCAUCGGCUAACUCCGUGCCAGCAGCCGCGGUAAUACAGAGGAUGCGAGCGUUAUCCGGAUUUAUUGGGUUUAAAGGGUGCGCAGGCGGUCUGUUAAGUCAGCGGUCAAAGCCCGGGGCUCAACCCCGGCCCGCCGUUGAAACUGGCAGUCUCGAGUUGGAGAGAAGUAUGCGGAAUGCGCGGUGUAGCGGUGAAAUGCAUAGAUAUCGCGCAGAACUCCGAUUGCGAAGGCAGCAUGCCGGCUCCACACUGACGCUGAGGCACGAAAGCGUGGGUAUCGAACAGGAUUAGAUACCCUGGUAGUCCACGCAGUAAACGAUGAAUGCUGGCUGUCCGGGGGGAUUGACCCCUGGGUGGCGAAGCGAAAGCGAUAAGCAUUCCACCUGGGGAGUACGCCGGCAACGGUGAAACUCAAAGGAAUUGACGGGGGCCCGCACAAGCGGAGGAACAUGUGGUUUAAUUCGAUGAUACGCGAGGAACCUUACCCGGGCUCAAACGGGGAGUGACUCAGGCAGAGAUGCCUGUUUCCCACGGGACACUCCCCGAGGUGCUGCAUGGUUGUCGUCAGCUCGUGCCGUGAGGUGUCGGCUUAAGUGCCAUAACGAGCGCAACCCCCGCGUGCAGUUGCUAACAGAUAACGCUGAGGACUCUGCACGGACUGCCGGCGCAAGCCGCGAGGAAGGCGGGGAUGACGUCAAAUCAGCACGGCCCUUACGUCCGGGGCGACACACGUGUUACAAUGGGUGGUACAGCGGGAAGCCAGGCGGCGACGCCGAGCGGAACCCGAAAUCCACUCUCAGUUCGGAUCGGAGUCUGCAACCCGACUCCGUGAAGCUGGAUUCGCUAGUAAUCGCGCAUCAGCCAUGGCGCGGUGAAUACGUUCCCGGGCCUUGCACACACCGCCCGUCA